CUAUUCUCUGCAACAGCAUUUCCAAUGUGGAUUCAUCCGACAUACUCUUCCAAAAACAAAUAAUUUUUUUUUUUCGUAUGCUUCAGUAACUCCACUUCUGGUUAUAUAUCUAAAGGAAAUAAAGUCAGUGUAUUGAAGCGAUAUUUACACUGCCAUAUUCAUUACAGCACUAUUCACAACAGCCAGUUAUGGACUCAACCUAAGUGCUCAUCAGUAGAUGACUGGAUAAAGAAAAUGUGGCAUAUAUACACAAUGGAAUACUAUUCAACCUUUUAAAAAAGUGAAGUCCUAUCAUUUGCAGCAACAUGGAUGGAACUGGAGGUCAUUAUAUUAAGUGAAAUAAGUCAGGCACGGAAAGUCUAAUAUUGCAUGAUUUUACAUAUAUGUGGAAUAUGAAAAAGUAGAACUCAUAGAAGCAGAGAGUAAAAUGGUGGUUACAAGGGGCUGGGAUGGAGGGAGGAGGAUGAGGAGAUGUUGAAACAAAGUUUCAGUUACAUGGGAGGAAUAAGUUCUGGACAUCUACUGGAUAGCAUAGUGAUGAGGUAAUAAUAAUAAAUAUUUGAAAAUUGCUACGUGAGUAUAUACAUAUGUAUACACUGUAUAUAUACUUCUUUUUAAUAUACAGAUAAAAAAUCAGAAAAAGAAGAGGUUUCUCUAUGUUUACCAGGCUGGUCUCAAGCUCCUGUCCUCAAGUGAUCAAGUGAUCCUCCUGCCUCAGCCUCUGAAAGUGUUGGUAUUACAGCAUGAGCCACUGUGCCUGGCCCUCAAUAUUCAUCAAUCCACUAUAAUUUUGGAGCUUACCACUACACUGAACAUAAUGUGGCCAAGAACCAACUGAACUUUAUAUUGCAAACACCAACAGGACAUUCUUGAGACCUUAUUUUACUUGAUCUUUCUGCAGUGUUCAAGGCUACUGGCCACACUACUCCUUUUUAAAAACUGUGUUUCCUUGAUUUCUAAAAUACCACUGUCUCCCACUUCCACUGGUUUAAAGUUUCAGACUGCUUAUUUGAUACCUACUUCAUAGAGUCUUUACUGUCUGGUUAUACUGGUUUGUCUGAGGUUAAUCUUUAGCUCGUUUUUCUUCUACAUGUACAUACUCUCUCUGACUGAUCUUAUUCAUGCAGUUUCAUUUUUACCUGUAUGCAAAUGAUUCCCAACAUCAAUUGUACAGACUUCUUUCUUGAGCUCCAGAUCCAUGUAUGGCAGAAUAAAAUGUUUGAAUGUGAUAGUAUUUACAGACUCCUCUCAUUCA
RNAcentral lists this long non-coding RNA (1255 nucleotides) under Papio anubis (olive baboon). Its description in RNAcentral is "lncRNA (ENSPANG00000043128.1)". The record is from RNAcentral. Lineage: Eukaryota; Metazoa; Chordata; Mammalia; Primates; Cercopithecidae.